GGUUUUCAUGGCAGAGAUACUAGAGGAGUUUGCCAUUUCCUUCACCAGCUCAUUUUACAGAUGAGGAAACUGAGGCAAACAGGUUAAGUGACUUGUCCAGACUCACAUAACUAACAGGUUUCAAGGAAGAACAGUGCUAUCUCCAACCAGAGGAAAGGACAGUCAUUUUGGCAACCUUGUUUUUCCACUUGGCUACUGUGCAUCACUUAAAUGCCUGACACCUUUUUUUCUUGGUUUCCCUUUUUAUGAUUUUAAAUUAAUGAGUAACCAUACAUAGGUAAUCUGUGACACUGAGUAGUCCAUUAAGGAAAGCACCAAGGGUACCAGCAAAGCUAUGAGAUCCACCAGAGUCAUCUACAGUCUUAUUGAUAACUCACUGAUAAUAAGAAGUCAGUGAUAGCAGUAACUGAAUCUGGUGGGAAGACCAUAUAAGCGCAAGAGAAUAAUCUGCUUGCCCAGCCCAGCAUUGAGUCAGUCAGAUAACUGUCUAUGACAUGCAUACAGAAAUAAAUUUGGAUCCUUUCUGAAGUGAGAAAAAUACUACCAGAGCCGGGAAAAUCUCUCUUCUCCCAGAUGAGGGUUGGAGAAAGGAAAGUGUCUGUGCCAUAUGGCAUGUGUAUGUGUAAGUUUAGCAACCAGCUUAAAUUUGAAUCUAUUCUCCCCAAAAAACUAUGUGGACAUGUAGAAGGGAAACUGUGUAUCCCAGUUUCUGGGGAUGUUGUACUUUUUGGCCUUUGCUAUUCAUUCUCAGUAAAUAUCACUUUGUAAAAGCUAAUUGGUGUUAAUAUACUAAUUGAUUUGGGAGAGAAAUUUUAACUGACUUAAUGAUUUUGGGAAGCAUACCAGUAGGGGGCUCAUGAGUUAUAGUAUUAGUGAACCCCAGUUCCUUCAGAUUAAGCCUAGAAUCCUGAUGGGAACUUGUGAUUUCAAUGAUUUAGGGAACAUGUGAGUGAGAAAACUCUCUUUACCAGUGCAGGAUCUCACACCUUUUCUGCAACUUACAAUCUUAGAGGGUUGCCUACAGUACUGAGAAGUUGAGUGGCUUGUCAAAGGUGAUGCAGCCCAUGUAUGUCAGACACAAGACAGGAGAUAUUUCAAGCUGACUCUCUCAUCUCUGCAUCUUGCUUCUGCUUAUGUAAAGAUAAUUUUUUAAAAACUAUUGCAGUUCAGUAAUUGCCAUGCAUGCUGCCUUCCAACUCUCUUCUUCACGAAGUUCAAUUUUAAGGUAAUAAUCUGUAAGCCUGUGGCUUUCUUUCAUUUUUCUAUCCCAAUUUAUAUUCACCAGUACCCACUUUCGUAUUAAAAAAUUGCUAAAUAUUAAGAGUAGAUAGUUUUAAUUUGGAGGGUUUUGUCAAAUUCUGCAUAGAGCUGCUGAUUUUCAAUUUUUGCAACAGAUUAGCACAUAGUUGUACUAUGUACAUGUAUUUUUAUUGUGUCCUGCUUUUGCUUGCAUGCAG
This 1457-nucleotide long non-coding RNA is filed under the name Sarcophilus harrisii (Tasmanian devil). RNAcentral describes it as "lncRNA (ENSSHAG00000022474.1)". The record is from RNAcentral. Lineage: Eukaryota; Metazoa; Chordata; Mammalia; Dasyuromorphia; Dasyuridae.